This 200-nucleotide long non-coding RNA is filed under the name Chrysolophus pictus (golden pheasant). RNAcentral describes it as "lncRNA (ENSCPIG00010009136.1)". The record is from RNAcentral. Lineage: Eukaryota; Metazoa; Chordata; Aves; Galliformes; Phasianidae.
AAGGAGUGGAUUUCAAUGACUAGUUUUGUCAGUAAUGAAUGAACUGUUCUUUGUGGGUGUUUGCUGUUUUUGUCUUGUCAUGCAGUGAGGGCCUGUUUAAGUAUGGGAGUGUCCCCUUGGAGCUCUUCCUAGUGAGCACAUGCCCCCAAAGUACUGCUCUAUGUUUGGAUAGAAAUGUUGAAUUCAGGGUGGCUUCCUGA